CAGCCAGGUAUGCUCCGCCCCACAGUUGCCUGGCAACAGCCAACUGUGCCUGAUUAGAAAGGGCCCUGACCACAACAUGCUGGCCAUCCUUGCCUCGGCUUCUUGUGCUGCUAAACCAAGGAACUCUUCUAGUGACUUAAACCAACCAUCACAGAUAUCAAUCUGCUUGGAAAUGAGAGAUGUCUGACAUCAGCUCUGUGGAAGUUGCACAGUGGGAAAGUCCUGGCCUUGGAGUCUCAUGGUUCCCCUAACCAUCAUUCGAAAACACAGGCCCGUUCCCUGUUCUUCUGGAAACUUGAGCUCCUUAGCUUCAAAGCAAUGACCUUGAGAGUGUCCUAGGGCAGAAAAAUAUAACAAGACCCAAAAUGCAUUUCUUUAGCCUAUGUAAGGAAGCUGUUUCCUAACAUUGGGGCACUAAAAAGCCCAAAUAAAGGUAUUAUUUACCUUCAUAAAUUUUACUUAAUUACGAUGAUGAUACUAGAGUAGGCUUUUAUUCUCUCUUGUUAGUGGAGAGGACGCCACUGUGUCUCCUUUGUACUUUGGUAAUGCUGAGG
This is a long non-coding RNA of Rattus norvegicus (Norway rat), 554 nucleotides long. Lineage: Eukaryota; Metazoa; Chordata; Mammalia; Rodentia; Muridae. The record is from Ensembl.